GACGGAGGGUGCUAGCGUUGUUCGGAAUGACUGGGCGUAAAGGGCGCGUAGGCGGCCGCUUGCGUCGGAUGUGAAAGCCCCGGGCUUAACCUGGGAACUGCGUUUGAUACGGAUGGGCUAGAGUUCGGGAGAGGAGAGUGGAAUUCCCAGUGUAGAGGUGAAAUUCGUAGAUAUUGGGAAGAACACCGGUGGCGAAGGCGGCUCUCUGGACCGAGACUGACGCUGAGGCGCGAAAGCGUGGGGAGCAAACAGG
RNAcentral lists this ribosomal RNA (253 nucleotides) under uncultured bacterium. Its description in RNAcentral is "partial 16S ribosomal RNA". It matches the Rfam family "Bacterial small subunit ribosomal RNA", at positions 524 to 776 of the family's 1533-position model. The record is from RNAcentral.